UACGGAGGAUCCUAGUGUUAUCCGGAUUUAUUGGGUUUAAAGGGAGCGUAGGCGGGAGGUCAAGUCAGCUGUGAAAUGUAUCUGCUUAACGGGUACACUGCAGUUGAAACUGGUUUUCUUGAGUGCGUAAGAGGCAGGCGGGAUUCGUUGUGUAGCGGUGAAAUGCUUAGAUAUGACGAGGAACUCCUAUUGCGAAGGCAGCUUGCUGGGUCGUUACUGACGCUGAUGCUCGAAGGUGCGGGGAUCAAACAGGAUUAGAUA
This 261-nucleotide ribosomal RNA is filed under the name uncultured prokaryote. Its description in RNAcentral is "partial 16S ribosomal RNA". It matches the Rfam family "Bacterial small subunit ribosomal RNA", at positions 524 to 784 of the family's 1533-position model. The record is from RNAcentral.